CGUGUAGGCGGCCGACCAAGUCCGGUGUGAAAGCCCGGGGCUUAGCUCCGGAAGUGCAUCGGAAACUAGUCGGCUUGAGCGCGAUAGAGGAGGGCGGAAUUCCUGGUGUAGCGGUGAAAUGCGUAGAUAUCAGGAGGAACACCGGCGGCGAAGGCGGCCCUCUGGCUCGUUGCUGACGCUGAGACGCGAAAGCGUGGGGAGCAAACAGGAUUAGAUACCCUGGUAGUCCACGCUGUAAACGAUGGGUACUAGGUGUUCGGGGUGUUGACCCCCUGAGUGCCGACGCUAACGCAUUAAGUACCCCGCCUGGGGACUACGGCCGCAAGGUUAAA
RNAcentral lists this ribosomal RNA (332 nucleotides) under uncultured bacterium. Its description in RNAcentral is "bacterial SSU rRNA". It matches the Rfam family "Bacterial small subunit ribosomal RNA", at positions 568 to 898 of the family's 1533-position model. The record is from RNAcentral.